This 745-nucleotide ribosomal RNA is filed under the name uncultured bacterium. RNAcentral's name for it is "bacterial SSU rRNA". It matches the Rfam family "Bacterial small subunit ribosomal RNA", at positions 28 to 773 of the family's 1533-position model. The record is from RNAcentral.
GAUGACUUUUGGCGGCGUGCUUAACACAUGCAAGUCGAGCGAAGCACUUAAGUUUGAUUCUUCGGAUGAAGAUUUUUGUGACUGAGCGGCGGACGGGUGAGUAACGCGUGGGUAACCUGCCUCAUACAGGGGGAUAACAGUUAGAAAUGACUGCUAAUACCGCAUAAGACCACGGUACCGCAUGGUACAGUGGUAAAAACUCCGGUGGUAUGAGAUGGACCUGCGUCUGAUUAGGUAGUUGGUGGGGUAACGGCCUACCAAGCCGACGAUCAGUAGCCGACUUGAGAGGGUGACCGGCCACAUUGGGACUGAGACACGGCCCAGACUCCUACGGGAGGCAGCAGUGGGGAAUAUUGCACAAUGGAGGAAACUCUGAUGCAGCGACGCCGCGUGAAGGAUGAAGUAUUUCGGUAUGUAAACUUCUAUCAGCAGGGAAGAAAAUGACGGUACCUGACUAAGAAGCCCCGGCUGACUACGUGCCAGCAGCCGCGGUAAUACGUAGGGGGCAAGCGUUAUCCGGAUUUACUGGGUGUAAAGGGAGCGUAGACGGCACGGCAAGCCAGAUGUGAAAGCCCGGGGCUCAACCCCGGGACUGCAUUUGGAACUGCUGAGCUAGAGUGUCGGAGAGGCAAGUGGAAUUCCUAGUGUAGCGGUGAAAUGCGUAGAUAUUAGGAGGAACACCAGUGGCGCCGGCGGCUUGCUGGACGAUGACUGACGUUGAGGCUCGAAAGCGUGGGGAGCAAUC